UCCAGUGUAAGGAGCUGGAGGAAUAAGGAGAGGGCAAGACUGGUGUCAGCCGCCGCGGUAAUACCAGCUCUCCGAGUGGUAGGGAUGUUUAUUGGGCCUAAAGCGUCCGUAGCCGGCUCAUCAAGUCCUCCGUUAAAUCCAGCGAUUCAAUCGUUGGGCUGCGGGGGAUACUGUUGGGCUAGGGGACGGGAGAGGCCGACGGUAUUCCCGGAGUAGGGGUGAAAUCCUAUAAUUCCGGGAGGACCACCAGUGGCGAAGGCUGUCGGCUAGAACGAGCUCGACGGUGAGGGACGAAAGCUGGGGGAGCGAACCGGAUUAGAUACCCGGGUAGUCCCAGCCGUAAACGAUGCGGGCUAGGUGUUAGGGUGGCUACGAGCCACUCUAGUGCCGCAGCGAAGGCAUUAAGCCCGCCGCCUGGGGAG
Molecule: ribosomal RNA, 422 nt
Filed under: uncultured archaeon
Lineage: Archaea
Description: bacterial SSU rRNA
Rfam family: Archaeal small subunit ribosomal RNA
Source: RNAcentral